Molecule: RNA transcript, 541 nt
Organism: Spodoptera frugiperda (fall armyworm)
Lineage: Eukaryota; Metazoa; Arthropoda; Insecta; Lepidoptera; Noctuidae
Exons: 4
Source: RefSeq, a predicted model, not a curated record
UGGAGUGUAAUAUUUUGUGUAUAAAAGCGGUUCUAAAUACUCAAUUUGUGAAUGAAGAACUAAUUAUGCCAUUUUUUAAAUCGCUUGUUUCAAUAAUAGAUUUUGUAUGAACUAUUUGAAAAGUGAAUGUAAUAUAAAAGGCGUCUUAUAAGCAAUCAUGGAAAAUAAAAUAGUGAAAACACCAAGGAAAUGGCGGUUUUGUCUACAGCAAAUGGGAAGUUAUCGCUCUAGUUUUUGGAAUAACAGUGUUCUUAAUCGGAGCUACCAUAGUAGCUUUUGGGAUAAAGAAAAAUAGAGAAGAUACAGAGUCUCUGGGCCGGCCUUGGGUCAUAGGUGGCGUAGUGUGUUGUUUUUGUGCAGUUACUAUACCAGGAUGCGUAUCAGCGUACAAAACCCUCACUAAUUUCCGAAAACGAAUCAUCCAUUCUAAGACCGCAGCAAGUAAGAAGUUUCGAAGCCGCGUUUCGUGGCCCAAGUAGAUUGUUCUAUCUCAAUCGAUUAAUUGUUAAGACAAGGAAAUAAAGUACAUUAUCAUUUUUUA